CGCACAUUGCGCCCCUUGGUAUUCCGAUGGGCACGUCUGCGUGAACAUCAUUUAUCCACUCGAGCUUGGCUCGGUGAUGGGGACCAUCUCUCUGCAAAGAGAGGUGGCCGCCCGCAAAGUGUCGGCCGUGGUAUCUUUACCUGCAGAGUAGUGAACACGCCUCUGAUCUGGGUACGAGAAUUUGCCCUGAGCCUUACGUAUAAUAUAAAACUUGAUUUCACGUCAGACGAGGUUACCCGCUGAACUUAA
Molecule: unclassified non-coding RNA, 249 nt
Filed under: Leotiomycetes sp.
Lineage: Eukaryota; Fungi; Ascomycota; Leotiomycetes
Description: partial contains 5.8S ribosomal RNA, internal transcribed spacer 2, and large subunit ribosomal RNA
Source: RNAcentral